UAAGGAUUAUUGGACAAUGGACGCAAGUCUGAUCCAGCCAUGCCGCGUGAAGGAUGAAUGCCCUCUGGGUUGUAAACUUCUUUUAUAGGGGAAGAAAGAUACUUUUUUUAAGGUAGUUGACGGUCCCCUAUGAAUAAGCACCGGCUAACUCCGUGCCAGCAGCCGCGGUAAUACGGAGGGUGCGAGCGUUAUCCGGAUUUACUGGGAUUAAAGGGUGAGUAGGUGGGCUUAUAAGUCAGUGGUGAAAUCUCCGAGCUUAACUUGGAAACUGCCGUUGAUACUAUAGGUCUUGAAUUAUCUGGAGUGAAGCGGAAUAUGUCAUUUAGCGGUGAAAUGCUUAGAUAUGACAUAGAACACCAAUUGCGAAGGCAGCUUACUACAUAUAAAUUGACGCUGAGGCACGAAAGCGUGGGGAUCAAACA
RNAcentral lists this ribosomal RNA (422 nucleotides) under uncultured bacterium. RNAcentral's name for it is "bacterial SSU rRNA". It matches the Rfam family "Bacterial small subunit ribosomal RNA", at positions 355 to 774 of the family's 1533-position model. The record is from RNAcentral.